UGUUAAUCCCAUGAUAAUCCCAUGUUAAUCCCAUGUUGAUGCCAUGUUUGAUGCACUGCUGUACUCAUCUCCGUCCCUUGUUCAUCCCAUGUUAAUCCCAUGAUAAUCCCAUGCUAAUCCCAUGUUAAUCCCAUGUUGAUGCCAUGUUGAUGCCAUGUUUGAUGCACUGCUGCACUCGUCUCCGUCCCAUGUUCAUCCCAUGUUCAUCCCAUGUUCAUCCCAUGUUCAGUUCAGUGCUGUGCUCA
This 245-nucleotide long non-coding RNA is filed under the name Numida meleagris (helmeted guineafowl). RNAcentral's name for it is "lncRNA (ENSNMEG00000002337.1)". The record is from RNAcentral. Lineage: Eukaryota; Metazoa; Chordata; Aves; Galliformes; Numididae.